UACGAAGGGGGCUAGCGUUGUUCGGAAUCACUGGGCGUAAAGGGCGCGUAGGCGGUUUGGUAAGUUAGAAGUGAAAUGCCGGGGCUUAACCUCGGAACUGCUUUUAAAACUGCCAGACUAGAGUUCGGGAGAGGAUAGUGGAAUUCCUAGUGUAGAGGUGAAAUUCGUAGAUAUUAGGAGGAACACCGGUGGCGAAGGCGGCUAUCUGGACCGAUACUGACGCUGAGGCGCGAAAGCGUGGGGAGCAAACAGG
Molecule: ribosomal RNA, 253 nt
Filed under: uncultured bacterium
Lineage: Bacteria
Description: partial 16S ribosomal RNA
Rfam family: Bacterial small subunit ribosomal RNA
Source: RNAcentral